This 379-nucleotide ribosomal RNA is filed under the name uncultured eukaryote. RNAcentral describes it as "partial 18S ribosomal RNA". It matches the Rfam family "Eukaryotic small subunit ribosomal RNA", at positions 592 to 975 of the family's 1831-position model. The record is from RNAcentral.
CAAUAGCGUAUAUUAAAGUUGUUGCGGUUAAAAAGCUCGUAGUUGGAUUUCUGCUGAGAACGACCGGUCCGCCCUCUGGGUGUGUAUCUGGCUCUUUCUUGGCAUCUUCUUGGUGAACGUUGCUGCACUUGACUGUGUGGAGCGCUACCCAGGACUUUUACUUUGAGGAAAUUAGAGUGUUUCAAGCAGGCAUACGCCUUGAAUACAUUAGCAUGGAAUAAUAAGAUAGGACCUCGGUUCUAUUUUGUUGGUUUCUAGAGCUGAGGUAAUGAUUAAUAGGGAUAGUUGGGGGCAUUCGUAUUUAACUGUCAGUGGUGAAAUUCUUGGAUUUGUUAAAGACGGACUACUGCGAAAGCAUUUGCCAAGGAUGUUUNCAUUG